UUACAACUUGGGUUGUUCCGUUCAGGACGUUAAUUUACGUUAAAUAACUAUUUAGUGUGAAUUAAGGAUCAAUUUGUACGGAGCCCCUAAAGCGACAUAGUCUCCAGUUCACAGUUUAACUCGCAGAAUAUUUCGGGCUGCUGUGGAAACACCUGAGCUAUUUAUGCUGUUUCUAGUACAAAGUCGUCACUGUUACAGUAUGUUGUUUAGGAAAAACACUUAAAAUGAAUCUUUAUGGGCUACGUAAAUGUGUGAAGGCACUGAUGGAUAAAAACACAUCAAAACACUUCAUAUAAAGUUUGGAUUAUGUAAACAAAAUCAAUUGAAAGAAGGUGUAGGUUUGUAGAUAAUUUCCUUACCAACAUCAACUGAAAUAAACUUCUAAAAACGUUUGAAUCAGUGUGGUGCAGAAUCCAGUCCCUUUCCACUGUUCGCUUACAUUUACUGUAAUAUUACACCUGUAAUAAACCAGUCAUACAGUCUGAAGUUACUUAGAAAAUACCAUUUUAAAUAUAUUGAUUACAAGGGUUGUAAAUUUGAAUGUGACCAGAGUAUGUUAGUAUAGAGAUAUCAGAACAGUGAUGAUGUUAAAAUAAAGCUUUUACAAAAAGUUAAAACAUAAAAAAAAACAGACAAAAUACAAAAGACAUCAAUAGUUACACAUUUUAUUCCAUAAAACCAUACUUGCCUAAAUGUGUAUAAAUCAGAACUCCACAGGGCGGACCGGCUGCAUUUCUGCUCACUGACGGAGAGAUAAACUCAGUGUCUUCACCUCCUGAAAACUACGUCACACGGUGGUUGAACAUGACAUCAGAAAAACUUUUCCCCACAGUGGGGCCAAAUGGAAGAAAAUCAUUUGAAAUACACUAAAUAAAACAAUUUGAAAUGAUAAAAAGGCAAAUUUAAGCACUUAUUAAUAGGCAAACUGGUGAUAAAUCUGGACACAACAAAUGGCUAAAAUCUGCUCCAUACGAAAUGUGAUGUUUACUACUUUCAGUUAUUAUACAUGUAAAGUUUAUUUUCUCUUUUUGUGAUAUUUCAGAUUGACCCUGACCUCUUCUUGAAAUAGAACAGCUCCUCAGGUCAGAAAAGUGGCUCGGUUUUAAAAUGAAGUGUAGAAAUAUUUUCCACUAUAUGACCUUAAAUUACAGACAGAUGAUCCUGAAAAUGUUUACGGAAAACUAAUUUCAAUCUAAAGAAAAAGUCCCAAAGGUCAGAGGUUAAAAUCUCACUUAAUGCCAGAGCUCUGCCCCUGCUGAACUACAUGUGCACUUUGCUAAGGGUAAUAAAUACAGAUAUACAACCGUAACUAAAACAGCAUUAACUAUAAAUAUUCUUCUGAUAUUUAAACAUACAAUAUCACUGAUGAAGGUGUAGAUUUCUCAUAUCUACUGAAAUAUCAAACUUUAGACGUGAAUUCUCCAUAGCAACAGCUUCAUGCUGGUUUAAUGUUCAACAGGAGGCUUUAAACCACCUGAUCCAGACAGAAAGGUCUCCAUAGAUGUGGAUCUCUGUGUUCUAGCCGUUUGGGAACACAAAGAACAACAGCUAAAAACCUGAAGAGCUCACCAACCCGCCGUCAGACUGUCAUGUUAGCUGCUGAUGUAGAUCAAAUUCAUUAGUCUGGGUCUCCAUGGCAACCUUAAACCCGAUGGUGGCUGCGUUGGGGUUGGCUGCAGCCUCGUGAGCAGGUCGUACAGACUUUCAGUGAUCAGCGUGUGAGCUUUCUGCUUUCAUGUGACUUUAAGUGAGAGCUGCAGGAUGAUGAUCCAUGACUGAUCAAACCUGUAACACAAGGUGGAAGCGACUUGUUGGUUUGUUGGAUCUUCUGCAGAUUUCACUGUUUUAUGAUUGUCUGAUGGCUGCAGGCAGGUCUGCUCAGUAACGGUGCAGUUUCUGCCAUUAGCUCCCUGAUGGUGAUUUCUGCAGCAACCUGCAGGCAGAAGCAGCAUUUUGAUGCAGAAACACUGCAGACGUAUCACUGGCACUGUGGAGUCCAGCAGCCUAUAAACGCUGACUCACAGAGUCAGAUUAUCUGCCAGAUUGUCAACAUUGAAGCAUGACUGGAAACCUGAAGUGAAACUUCUCUGAAGAGACGCUUUCAGAGGUCAGAGCCCGUAACUUUGCAUCAGGUUAUUUCCCAGAAGGAGAAACUGUGAUGUUGCCUUUUUUAGCCAGAAUAAACCCAUUCAGCAUGUUGGA
Long non-coding RNA from Girardinichthys multiradiatus, 2202 nucleotides. RefSeq lists it as uncharacterized. The transcript has 2 exons. NCBI's taxonomy places the organism in Eukaryota, Metazoa, Chordata, Actinopteri, Cyprinodontiformes, Goodeidae. The record is from RefSeq and is a predicted model, not a curated record.